Molecule: ribosomal RNA, 495 nt
Filed under: uncultured bacterium
Lineage: Bacteria
Description: partial 16S ribosomal RNA
Rfam family: Bacterial small subunit ribosomal RNA
Source: RNAcentral
GAUGAACGCUGGCGGCGUGCCUAAUACAUGCAAGUCGAGCGAACGGACGAGAAGCUUGCUUCUCUGAUGUUAGCGGCGGACGGGUGAGUAACACGUGGAUAACCUACCUAUAAGACUGGGAUAACUUCGGGAAACCGGAGCUAAUACCGGAUAAUAUUUUGAACCGCAUGGUUCAAAAGUGAAAGACGGUCUUGCUGUCACUUAUAGAUGGAUCCGCGCUGCAUUAGCUAGUUGGUAAGGUAACGGCUUACCAAGGCAACGAUGCAUAGCCGACCUGAGAGGGUGAUCGGCCACACUGGAACUGAGACACGGUCCAGACUCCUACGGGAGGCAGCAGUAGGGAAUCUUCCGCAAUGGGCGAAAGCCUGACGGAGCAACGCCGCGUGAGUGAUGAAGGUCUUCGGAUCGUAAAACUCUGUUAUUAGGGAAGAACAUAUGUGUAAGUAACUGUGCACAUCUUGACGGUACCUAAUCAGAAAGCCACGGCGAACUACG